GGGGGGGGGAGGGGGAGGAGGAGGCAUCCAACACCGCUAGCGCCAAGAAAUCUAGUGCCCAGAAAUGAUUCGGAGCCCCGCUGCACCCUGCCUGGGAAUGGUCAGAGGUCAGGAAGAGACACACACAGAGAGAGAGGCAGAGACACAGGCAGAGGGAGAAGCAGGCUCCAUGCAGGCAGCCCGACGUGGGACUCGAUCCCGGGUCUCCAGGAUCACGCCCUGGGCUGCAGGCGGCGCUGAAGCGCUGCACCACCGGGGCUGCCCAGGUCUGGAAUUUAAAAUCCAAAUCUGAGAGAUUCUGGAUUUUGAAAUAGAUAUGUGGAAUAAUUAAAA
Molecule: long non-coding RNA, 333 nt
Organism: Canis lupus familiaris (dog)
Lineage: Eukaryota; Metazoa; Chordata; Mammalia; Carnivora; Canidae
Exons: 3
Source: RefSeq, a predicted model, not a curated record